This is a long non-coding RNA of Gallus gallus (chicken), 1458 nucleotides long. The record is from Ensembl. Lineage: Eukaryota; Metazoa; Chordata; Aves; Galliformes; Phasianidae.
ACAGAUGUGCAGGGUUUUCUGCAGUAACACUCUUAUUCGGGUAUACUCAGUGGAAACAGCCAAUAGAUAGAACAGAAGCUAUUCUCAGACACAUAUCAGCCAGCAAAGUUAGUUUAUUACAUCUGGGGAAAAAUGUCUCACCCUUUAAUGAGCUGUGGCAAAUUAUUUCCAGAAUAGCUGGGGAACUCUACAAAGUAUUCUGAGAACACGCUAUCACUUCUCAUAACAGAUAAAGCCCAAAAGGCACUGUUUAGUCAGAGAUAUUAACUAUUAAACAUAAUUUAAGAAUUCAUAGAGCCAUCUGAAAUCAUAUACGUAGGCCUAGAAUUUAAGGAAAUGAGAGUAGCAGCGGGAGUAAAAAUAUUGAACUUGUCCUAAGAGAUGCUGUGUUAUGAGUAAUACCACACAAUUGCACUGAUUCUUUUCCUUCGUGAAAGAAAACAGAUGUUUUAAAUCUGGUGUCUUUAUAUGCAGGCAGACUAUUAUGCUCUGUAAAUAGGUUUAAAAUGUCCUAACAUUUCUGAGGCUUUCUUAUUUCUUGCUCAUUUACCUCACUUCAGAUUGCUUUCUUACUUUCCCCCUUCCCAUUAAAUUAUUCAAGAACUCCUGUUUAUAAAGGUCACAGUCAUAAAAAUCAGAGAAUGGGAGAACUAGCAUGUGAUUCUAGAGACCAGUGAGGCAGCACGCAAAGUGGAUUGUGAAGGACUCAUAAAAAGUAAGGCCAGGAGGAACCAUUAGAUCAUCUAAUCUGAUCUCUGGAUUCAGGGAGGCCUACAACUUGGAGAAGACAACCCUUUCCUUAAGCUCCUUCCUAGCUUUGAUAAAGAAGCAAUUUGACCCUACCGCUGUCUGGGGGCUCAGAUGAAGGAGCUGCAACAAGCAGAAACAACUGAAGAAAGACUCAUGAGCUGCAUUAUAUGAUUUGUUGCUAAUAGAUCCCAGUUGAGUCAAAUUAAUAAGGAUACUGCCUAAUUAAGCCACAUCUUAUGCCUUAAAAAAACAAACAAACAAACAAAAAAACCCCACACAACAGAAGUUCCUUUUGCAUGCCAGGGACAACAGAUGUAUUUGGCCAGUGCUUACCCUGAUGUCCUCAUUAUUUUCCUUGAUAGUUUUGUUCUGGUCAUUAAUCAUUUGCAUCAUUGGAAAUAGAAGUAAAACAUGGUAAAAAGUGACUAACUUCUUAUUUAAAUGCAUCUUACUUCAACUUCCUACCACGGGUUAUGAUUUAUUCCACAUGUGGAAAAAGUCCUUUAAUAUCCAGUGGUACUGCAGGAUAUUCAGGCUACCGUCCUUACUUUUCACAGUCUUAAAUAGUCGCUGCUAUUCUGUACAGUAUUUAGACAAUAUUUGUGACUGUUUUGUACCUUCACCAGGUUUAAAAGUGAGCCCUAGAUCUGUGUAUCACUGAUUUCACUAUCAUUGAACAGACAAACUCCGUGCUGCUCCUCCUAAUGU